This is an RNA transcript of Alosa sapidissima (American shad), 2229 nucleotides long. It is a transcript of the gene named Kruppel-like factor 1 (erythroid), with no coding region annotated. Lineage: Eukaryota; Metazoa; Chordata; Actinopteri; Clupeiformes; Clupeidae. The record is from RefSeq and is a predicted model, not a curated record. The transcript has 4 exons.
AGUGUCUUGCCGCCACAUUACCUGCUAGUUUCCUGAGAAUUUGGGGGCCCCAACCGGAUGGCUGCAACUCAAGCUGUACUGCCCUCGUUCAGUUCAUUCUCAAACUUCUCCAACUCCAGUCAGGACAUGAAGGUGUGGAGGUUUGAGGAUGGCUCGCUGGGCUCUCUGGGCUUUGAUGCUCAGGACAGAAGGUCACUGCUAGAGUUCCACAGCGCUGAGCAGCAGGACCUGCCACCGGCCUUCAGGGAGGCCCAGCUGGACGACGAGCACAGUGCAAACUGGGACAUGGAGUUUUUACUGUCCAGCUGGGGCAGCACGUCACCUGAUCAGGGCACCAGUCAGGACUCCAACUCCCACCGGCCCCCUGCGGCUGGUCAAGACCCGGGCCGGCUGUUCCAGGGGAGCGUCCAGGAGCGGCCGGCCCUGAAGGAGCACGCAGGGCUGGACAGGCACUACGCCAGCACUGGCAGCUUGAUGGCCGAGCUCCUCUCCCCGGAGGAGUCCGUGAGCUGCUCCAUUCCAGAGCUCUACAACGGGGGCUACCUGGGAGAGCAGCAGGGGAAGCCGUACGCUCUCCACUCCGACACCACACACCAGUACGGCGUCCCGCUCGGACACAACCCAGAGGGCCCAAAUGACCACAGCAAGGUCAAGUCCUGGGAGUACGGCUACUUCCCUCAACUCCCGUCUUUAAUGGCGUUCCCAGAGUCCAGGUUCCCCCCCGUGGCGUCUGUGGACGCAGAAGCCGCCGGGGGUCACUCCCAACGCUCGGCCUACAACAUCCUCCCAAACUACCACCACCACCCAAAGCUGUACCCCCACCAGCUGGGCCCUGCUGCCUUUGUCCACAGGCAGGCAGCAGGGGUCUACAGCUCCACCACCAGCUUGCUCCCUGACUCCACAGUGCCCUCUACGGGCCUGGAAGGGAAACGCGGGCGCAAAGGGGUGGCCAAGAAGAGGGCCGCGGUGCACAGCUGUGAAUACCCCGGCUGCAGCAAGACCUACACCAAGAGCUCACACCUCAAAGCGCACCUGCGCACUCACACAGGUGAGAAGCCCUACCUGUGCUCGUGGGAGGGCUGUGGGUGGAAGUUUGCCCGUUCGGAUGAGUUGACCCGCCACUUCCGCAAACACACGGGCCAGAAGCCUUACGAGUGCAUGCUGUGCCAGAGAGCCUUCUCCCGCUCUGACCAUCUGGCCCUGCACAUGAAGAGACAUAUAUGAGGUCCAACAGCAUGGGACACACACGGACACACACACACACACACCCACACACACACACACACACACACAUAACACAUCACUCAUGCACAGCCACAGGUCAAUUCACAUCCUACAUGAUACAUGACUUAUCAAUGUAGCAAAUAACAAAUUAAUGUACAGUAGAUGAACUGUGAUAUUGUUAUAUUUCAGCUAUGGCUUUCCAAUAGUGCAGUGCAAACGGUAGACAGGAAUGACCAGGUCAGCCCCACUGAGGACCUGAGAAGAAUCUGACCUGAGGAGGUGCACGCUGACAUACAGCUGCUUUAGCUCAUUUACAGGGCCAAGUUCAGGGCAGCGUGAAGCUUCAGUCUGAAUGAUCUCACCCCAUAGCUAGCAGCUCAACGUAUCUGAAGGUAGCUCUGACGGCGUGAGGAACACUACUUGAAGCCCCUCACCUGAGGGAACUGUGCUAAAUGGCCACACAUGGAACAGGAACCAUGGCCGCUGUAGGUUCAGUCCUGGCUUUUAUUUUUGCAAAAAUAGCAAAUAUGUACAGUAUAAGGUAUCUUUUUUUUAAUUUCUUUUCCUCUUUUCCUCUUAUAUUUAAUUUAGAUGAAAUUUACUUUACAACAUUUACAUACCUUCAGCUCAGAGUAAAUAACACUUUAAAAAUUUUAAUGUAAAAAUAGGAAAGAUAGUUGAUGGCACACGUGGAUUAACAUCUAUGGAGCUGAACUGUAGGUUUGUUUUUGUACAUCUAGACAGACAGACGUACCUUCCAUACCUUCCAUUACACCAAUGAUUUCCUAGCAUUAUCUAUUUCAUAUUUAUUCAUCAUUUUUUCGCAAGGUCUAUUAUGUGAAAUAUUUACUUAUUACUAAGAGUUGUCAGUUGAAACUGUCUCUAUUUAUUCAUUGUUACCCUUAGAAGAUGCUACAGUAAGUUUUUGUUAUGGCUUUGUAUGUAUUUUAUAAAGUAUCCUUUUUAUGUUUUCUAUACUUUUGCAAAUAAAGCACUGGGGAUAAA